UACGUAGGGUGCGAGCGUUGUCCGGAAUUACUGGGCGUAAAGAGCGUGUAGGCGGCUUUACAGGUCCGUUGUGAAAACUCGAGGCUCAACCUCGAGACGCCGGUGGAAACCGUAAGGCUAGAGUCCGGAAGAGGAGAGUGGAAUUCCUGGUGUAGCGGUGAAAUGCGCAGAUAUCAGGAAGAACACCCGUGGCGAAGGCGGCUCUCUGGGACGGUACUGACGCUGAGACGCGAAAGCGUGGGGAGCGAACAGG
RNAcentral lists this ribosomal RNA (253 nucleotides) under uncultured bacterium. RNAcentral's name for it is "partial 16S ribosomal RNA". It matches the Rfam family "Bacterial small subunit ribosomal RNA", at positions 524 to 776 of the family's 1533-position model. The record is from RNAcentral.